RNAcentral lists this ribosomal RNA (374 nucleotides) under uncultured organism. Its description in RNAcentral is "partial 16S ribosomal RNA". It matches the Rfam family "Bacterial small subunit ribosomal RNA", at positions 527 to 896 of the family's 1533-position model. The record is from RNAcentral.
GUAGGUGGCAAGCGUUGUCCGGAAUUAUUGGGCGUAAAGCGCGCGCAGGCGGGUCCUUUAAGUCUGAUGUGAAAGCCCACGGGCUCAACCGUGGAGGGUCAUUGGAAACUGGGGGACUUGAGUACAGAAGAGGAAAGCGGAAUUCCAGGUGUAGCGGUGAAAUGCGUAGAGAUUUGGAGGAACACCAGUGGCGAAGGCGGCUUUCUGGUCUGUAACUGACGCUGAGGCGCGAAAGCGUGGGGAGCAAACAGGAUUAGAUACCCUGGUAGUCCACGCCGUAAACGAUGAGUGCUAAGUGUUAGGGGGUUUCCGCCCCUUAGUGCUGCAGCUAACGCAUUAAGCACUCCGCCUGGGGAGUACGGCCGCAAAGGCUG